CCUUGUACACACCGCCCGUCACGCCAUGGGAGUGGAUUGCACCAGAAGUAGGUAGGUUAACCGCAAGGGGGCCGCUUACCACGGUGUGUUUCAUGACUGGGGUG
This 104-nucleotide ribosomal RNA is filed under the name uncultured bacterium. RNAcentral's name for it is "partial 16S ribosomal RNA". It matches the Rfam family "Bacterial small subunit ribosomal RNA", at positions 1379 to 1482 of the family's 1533-position model. The record is from RNAcentral.